UACGUAGGGGGCUAGCGUUGUCCGGAAUCACUGGGCGUAAAGGGUUCGCAGGCGGAAAUGCAAGUCAGAUGUAAAAGGCAGUAGCUUAACUACUGUAAGCAUUUGAAACUGCAUAUCUUGAGAAGAGUAGAGGUAAGUGGAAUUUUUAGUGUAGCGGUGAAAUGCGUAGAUAUUAAAAAGAAUACCGGUGGCGAAGGCGACUUACUGGGCUCAUUCUGACGCUGAGGAACGAAAGCGUGGGUAGCAAACAGGAUUAGAUACUCUGGUAGUC
RNAcentral lists this ribosomal RNA (271 nucleotides) under uncultured Eubacteriales bacterium. RNAcentral's name for it is "uncultured Clostridiales bacterium partial 16S ribosomal RNA". It matches the Rfam family "Bacterial small subunit ribosomal RNA", at positions 524 to 795 of the family's 1533-position model. The record is from RNAcentral. Lineage: Bacteria; Bacillati; Bacillota; Clostridia; Eubacteriales.